GUCGCUGCCGGCCGCAGGCCGGGAGAGGAAAGUCCGGGCAACACAGAGCACCACGCAGGUUAACGGCCUGACAGCCGUGAGGUUGUGGCAGCGUAACAGAAAACGACCGCCCGCAGGCAACUGCGGGUAAGGGUGAAAAGGCGGGGUAAGAGCCCACCGCGGGGGCAGCAAUGUCGCCCGGCAGUACGUCCCGUGGGUUGCAAGACCGUGUAUACCGGCAAUUAAGGGUUGCUCGCCCGAUGCCGGGGGGUAGGUUGCUCGAGGCGGCAGGAGACUGCCGUCCUAGAUAAAUGACAGGGGCCCGGGGUUCGCCCCGGGAACAGAACCCGGCUUACAGGGC
Molecule: RNase P RNA, 340 nt
Filed under: Alistipes provencensis
Lineage: Bacteria; Pseudomonadati; Bacteroidota; Bacteroidia; Bacteroidales; Rikenellaceae
Description: Bacterial RNase P class A
Rfam family: Bacterial RNase P class A
About the family: Ribonuclease P (RNase P) is a ubiquitous endoribonuclease, found in archaea, bacteria and eukarya as well as chloroplasts and mitochondria. Its best characterised activity is the generation of mature 5'-ends of tRNAs by cleaving the 5'-leader elements of precursor-tRNAs.
Source: RNAcentral